Molecule: non-coding RNA, 1251 nt
Organism: Odocoileus virginianus texanus
Lineage: Eukaryota; Metazoa; Chordata; Mammalia; Artiodactyla; Cervidae
Source: RefSeq, a predicted model, not a curated record
GAACAUGAAAAAUGUUCAGUAUUGCCAGUUACUAGAGAAACACAAAUCAAAACUACGGUGAAAUAUCACACGAGUCAAAAUAGCUAAUAUAAAAAAAACCCACAAACAAUAAAUGCUGGAGAGAGUGUGGAGAGUUCAAGGAACCCUCUUAUACGGUUGGUGGGGAGGUAAAUAGGUACAGCCACUAUGGAGAGCAAUACAAAAUUUCCCUAAAAAGCUAAAAAUAGUUACCAUAUGAUCCAACAGUCCCACUCCUGGACAUAUAUCUGAAAGAAGACAAAAACUCUAAUCAAGAAGAUCCAUGCACCCUAGUGUUCAUAACAGCACUGUUUACCAAUAGCCAAGACAUGGAAGCAACCUAAAUAUCCACUGACGGCUGAAUGGGUAAAGAUGUACACACACACACACACACACACACAUACACACACCAAUACUACUCAGCCAUUAGUUGUUGCUUGUGACUGGGGGGAUUAGGGAUAGGAGGGUGAUAGCUAAAGAGUACAGAGUUUCUUUUUGAGGUGCUGAAAAUACCCCAAAAUUGUGGAGAUAGUUAUACAUAUCUGAAUAUACUAAAAAGCCAUUAAAUUAUUUGGAAUAUGAAAUAUACCUCAAUAAUUGGAUGAUUGUUCACUGACUAAUAUUUAUGACUUACAUUUUGCUGAGGCCAGAUGGAGUGAGGGAAUAGAGAAGAAAGAAAGAAGAAGUGAGUACAAUGUCUGUCAGGAAAUUUUCUUAUUUCACGCUUAGUCGGAGAGCAACCAAAUAGAAGUGAUUCUUGAUUUUGAAGACAAGCAACUUAUGUACAUUUUGAUAUAUUACUUUCUGUUUAAGUUUGCUUAGCUACAGUCGAGUUUUUCUCUAAGUUUAUAAAUAAAGGCCUGAAUAUAAUCUCUCUUCUUUUUCUUUCCCUCCAACCUCCUUUCUUCUUUACAGGGAGUUUACACUGGGAGAGUACUUACCCUUCAGGAAUUAUUGAUCCAUGUUGGGAAGUUAAAUGCUGAAGCUGUUAGAGUUCAUUUAACAUUCCUCACUUUUCUGGAAAAAUGAGUGCUGAAGGAAUAAGUUAUCAGCAAGUUUUCCUAAACACGGACAUAGGCACAUUUCAGAUGUGCAAACCAACCUUCUGGAACAAAGUUAAAGGAACCAGUACUACAGGAAGCACUGCUGCGAUUUCAGAUUUACUCACCAAGGCACUUUCUUUUCACCCUUUCCAACUCAUGUACUCUUCUGGCUGACAGCACGAGAGAAACU